Molecule: ribosomal RNA, 497 nt
Filed under: uncultured bacterium
Lineage: Bacteria
Description: partial 16S ribosomal RNA
Rfam family: Bacterial small subunit ribosomal RNA
Source: RNAcentral
GAUGAACGCUGGCGGCGUGCCUAAUACAUGCAAGUCGUGCGAACAGACGAGGAGCUUGCUCCUCUGACGUUAGCGGCGGACGGGUGAGUAACACGUGGAUAACCUACCUAUAAGACUGGGAUAACUUCGGGAAACCGGAGCUAAUACCGGAUAAUAUAUUGAACCGCAUGGUUCAAUAGUGAAAGACGGUUUUGCUGUCACUUAUAGAUGGAUCCGCGCCGCAUUAGCUAGUUGGUAAGGUAACGGCUUACCAAGGCAACGAUGCGUAGCCGACCUGAGAGGGUGAUCGGCCACACUGGAACUGAGACACGGUCCAGACUCCUACGGGAGGCAGCAGUAGGGAAUCUUCCGCAAUGGGCGAAAGCCUGACGGAGCAACGCCGCGUGAGUGAUGAAGGUCUUCGGAUCGUAAAACUCUGUUAUUAGGGAAGAACAAAUGUGUAAGUAACUAUGCACGUCUUGACGGUACCUAAUCAGAAAGCCACGGCUAACUACGUG